This 497-nucleotide ribosomal RNA is filed under the name uncultured bacterium. Its description in RNAcentral is "partial 16S ribosomal RNA". It matches the Rfam family "Bacterial small subunit ribosomal RNA", at positions 28 to 507 of the family's 1533-position model. The record is from RNAcentral.
GAUGAACGCUGGCGGCGUGCCUAAUACAUGCAAGUCGAGCGAACGGACGAGAAGCUUGCUUCUCUGAUGUUAGCGGCGGACGGGUGAGUAACACGUGGAUAACCUACCUAUAAGACUGGGAUAACUUCGGGAAACCGGAGCUAAUACCGGAUGAUAUUUUGAACCGCAUGGUUCAAAAGUGAAAGACGGUCUUGCUGUCACUUAUAGAUGGAUCCGCGCUGCAUUAGCUAGUUGGUAAGGUAACGGCUUACCAAGGCAACGAUGCAUAGCCGACCUGAGAGGGUGAUCGGCCACAAUGGAAAUGAGACACGGUCCAGACUCCUAAGGGAGGCAGCAGUAGGGAAUCUUCCGGAAUGGGCGAAAGCCUGACGGAGCAAAGCCGCGUGAGUGAUGAAGGGCUUCGGAUCGUAAAACUCUGUUAUUAGGGAAGAACAUAUGUGUAAGUAACUGUGCACAUCUUGACGGUACCUAAUCAGAAAGCCACGGCUAACUACGUG